Long non-coding RNA from Gorilla gorilla gorilla (western lowland gorilla), 2552 nucleotides. RefSeq lists it as uncharacterized. Lineage: Eukaryota; Metazoa; Chordata; Mammalia; Primates; Hominidae. The record is from RefSeq and is a predicted model, not a curated record. The transcript has 4 exons.
CCCGUCUCUAGUAAAAAUACAAAAAUUAGUCAGGCGUGGUGGUACAAGCCUGUAGGCCCAGCUACUUAGAAGGCUGAGGCAGGAGAAUCACUUUAACGGGGAGGCAGAGGUUGCAGCGAGCCAAUAUCAUGCCACUGCACUCCAGCUUGGGUGACAGAGUGAGACAUCAUCUCAAAAAAAAAAAAAAAAAAAGAAAAGAAAAACAUAUGAUGCCGGGGCAUCUCAGCCUCAAUACCUGCAUGAGCACAGUCAUGUCCAGGCCAGGGCUGCUGGUCGAGGUCCGGCCCCAUUUCUCCCAGCAGAAAGGGAGUAAGCUUGCAGGGAGGCUGGGGGACAAGAUCCCAGGAUCUCAGCCUCUGCUCAUGGAUCAGCUCUGAGACCCCGAGUGAGCUGGGGGUGCUCUGUGUGCAUUGGUUUCCCCAGCUGUCAAGUAAAGGGAUUGGAUGAGGAAGCCUUGUCAAGGUGGAACAAUCUCAGAUUUGGGGCAGCAGUGAAUGAUCCUGCUCCCUGGGCCAUGCCAGUGGCCUGGCCUCAGCUGAACACAGCCCCAACACUCUGGAAUGGGGAUGAGGGGGCAGUCAGCUCUUGCUCCUAGUAAGAGAGAUGCAGUAGGGCUCUGUGGCUGAGCUGGGUGCCUUGCCUCAGACCUGUAAUCCCAACCUUUGAGAGGCUGAGGCGGGAGGAUUGCUUGAGGCCGGGAAUUUUGAGAAUAGCCUGGACAACAUAGCAAGACCCCAUGUCUACAAAAUAAUAAUAAAACACACAGCUAUAGUCCAAGCUACUUGGCAGGCUGAGGCAGGAAGCUCCCUUGAGUCCGGGAAUUGGAGGCUGCAUUGAGCUAUAAUCGCACCACUGCACUCACUCCAGCUUGGGUGACAAAGUGAGACCCUGUCUCUAAAAGAAAAAAAAAUCGGCCUGUGAGCAUGGGUUUGAUUUUCAAAAAGGACCCGGAGGGUAGGGACAGACAGUGCUGUCACUCUUAGGUGCUGAACACUCAGAAGCGGACCAGCGGCAGCCCUUUCCUCACCUGCAGACACCAGAUUGGGCAGAACAGCACGUGGCACUUGCAGCUCUUGCAGUGAGGGCAGAACCCAGUGUCAACCCUUCUGCCUGUGGGAGGGGCUGCUGAGGCCUGCGGAGAGGCCAGGAUGGAGGCUCGUCCCCUUGUCCAGCCCUUGGCAUGGUCUCCAUCAGGUUCCCAGCCCACCAGUGCAGGGCGCCCCUGAGCCUGCUGCUGCCACGGGCCCUGUCUCUACCCAGGACGUCCCCCUACCCUCGCAGUGUCAGGGAAAUUAUCAUGGUGGUGGUGACACUCUGCAGGCAGGGCUGCUGAGAGAACCUGAGAAGGGUCACACUGCAGGCAGGGGCCCAUGUGACAAGCCCCUCUCACCCCGAGAGAGCUGACCAGGCAGCUCACGAGCAGAGCCACAUCCUGGGAGUCUGAGAAAGGUCCUGGCUGGGCUCAGCCACCUCAUUGGCUAUGGGCAGCCUUUGUUGUGUGAGCCUUGCUCUCCUGGGGAGGCUCAGGCUGACGGCUGAUGUGGGCAUUGCCGAGGGUAACCUGUGGCCCAGUGGAUAUGGCUGGGUCUCCUCAAGCUGCAUUCAUUCAAGUAGGACCCAGGGUGCAUGCCCAUCUCCAGCCCAGGGCAGCUCCCCUGUAAGCUGGGUGAGCUACUGAAGCCAAGGCGGGAGGCAGCUGACAACACCCACGGCCCAUGUGGAGGUGGUGGAAAGGCUGGACUCAGCAGCAACACCAAAUCCUGGACCAGGCAGAAACCACCCAAGACUGAGGGGCUCGUGCCAGAGCAGUGGCCACAGUUUCAAGGUAACAGAUGCACAUCAUGAGACCAGAGGAGGCAGAGACAAGGGCUGGAUUUGGCUUUUCUAAGCAACAUGAGUUCCUGCGCACAGCUGAAUGGUCGCUGAGACAGAUGGAAGCCAGGACAGGGGAGCCCACCGGGCCCAGAUAGGUACCAUUGGGAAUGAAUUCUGUGCUGUUGUUGCCAAUCCUGGAAUGAAGUGAGACUCCCCUCCUCAGCCUCCUGACAGAGUCAUCUCAUUUCUUCUUUGAAAAAUUAAAGAACGAAGCAAGCAAUUCCAGGCGGGGGAUCUUAGCCAUCAUUUCAUUUCUCCGGCAGCAAACAAUAUAAUGCUAAGCAGGGGAAUUCUGCUUCAUGACUUGAGUUGAUGUUACUGAGCCCUGGAGCACAUUUAUAGCUGAUAAGAAGCAUGGAAAAAUCCUUAUUUAACAAUGAGGAAGAGGUGACAUGAAUGCUGACCUCCUUGGUCUAGAAAGACCAGGAAUAUUGUUGCUGUCCUGUAAGAGUAGUCAAUGGUCAAGCAUACCUGUGUGCUACCUGAGCAAGAAUCAGAAGACAGCCCCUCUACCUUGGCAUCCAGGGGUAAUCAGCAAGUUACCAACAGAAGUACCACAUUUAGAUUUCUCCACUAUGAGCUGGGAUGGGAGACAGAAGAAAACAGCAGGCUUGAGGUCCUUAUGACAUUCUGCUUCAGUGCUGGGGAGUGUCCUCAGACUGUAGCAAAGUAGGGAG